UUGUGCCAGCAGCCGCGGUAAUUCAGCUCCAAUAGCGUAUAUUAAAGUUGUUGUGGUUAAAAAGCUCGUAGUUGAACCUUGGGCCUGGCUGGCCGGUCCGCCUCACCGCGUGCACUGGUCCGGCCGGGCCUUUCCCUCUGUGGAACCCCAUACCCUUCACUGGGCGUGGCGGGGAAACAGGACAUUUACUUUGAAAAAAUUAGAGUGCUCCAGGCAGGCCUAUGCUCGAAUACAUUAGCAUGGAAUAAUAAAAUAGGACGCGCGGUUCUAUUUUGUUGGUUUAUAGGACCGCCGUAAUGAUUAGUAGGGACAGUCGGGGGCAUCAGUAUUCAACUGUCAGAGGUGAAAUUCUUGGAUCAGUUGAAGACUAACUACUGCGAAAGCAUUUGCCAAGGAUGUUUUCAUUAAUCAGGAACGAAAGUUAGGGGAUCGAAGACGAUCAGAUACCGUCGUAGUCUUAACCAUAAACUAUGCCGACUAGGGAUCGGACGGUGUUAUUCAUGACCCGUUCGGCACCUUACGAGAAAUCAAAGUGCUUGGGCUCCAGGGGGGAGUAUGGUCGCAAGGCUGAAACUUAAAGAAAUUGACGGAAGGGCACCACCAGGGGUGGAGCCUGCGGCUUAAUUUGACUCAACACGGGGAAACUCACCAGGUCCAGACACAAUAAGGAUUGACAGAUUGAGAGCUCUUUCUGAUUUUGUGGGUGGUGGUGCAUGGCCGUUCUAGUUGGUGGGGUGACUUGUCUGCUUAUUGCGAAUAACGAACGAGACCUUAACCUGCUAAAUAG
This 787-nucleotide ribosomal RNA is filed under the name uncultured fungus. RNAcentral's name for it is "SSU rRNA". It matches the Rfam family "Eukaryotic small subunit ribosomal RNA", at positions 562 to 1358 of the family's 1831-position model. Lineage: Eukaryota; Fungi. The record is from RNAcentral.